Molecule: long non-coding RNA, 235 nt
Filed under: Ananas comosus (pineapple)
Lineage: Eukaryota; Viridiplantae; Streptophyta; Magnoliopsida; Poales; Bromeliaceae
Description: long non-coding RNA (ACOM_LNC029760)
Source: RNAcentral
AGCUAUACUAGGGAUUUCAGAUGACGUGCUUUGAGGCUCAGAUGAAUCAUUUGAUGCAACAUUUUCAGAAGAUGCAAUAGAAUUGUCAAGUGCAAAAACAUCAUCAUUCACAGGCAAUACAAACGGAGAAUCAUUAUCAUCAUCAUUCACCAAAGAAGUAGAAGAACCAUUCACAGAAGAACUUACAGAAGAAGCUUCAUCUACUUUUAUAUUGAUAGACUCUAUCACCGUCUUA